Small nuclear RNA from Perognathus longimembris pacificus (Pacific pocket mouse), 119 nucleotides. RefSeq annotates it as U11 spliceosomal RNA. The transcript has a single exon. The record is from RefSeq and is a predicted model, not a curated record. Lineage: Eukaryota; Metazoa; Chordata; Mammalia; Rodentia; Heteromyidae.
AAAAUAAGCCUUUAAAAAUUCAGCAUUCAUUGUCUGUGUGCAGAGUUGACAUCAAGAGAUUUUGGAGGCAUAAUUUCCUGGUGUUUGGACAGCUGGUGAUCGUUGGUCCCGGAGCCCUA